UUGUCGGAAUCAUUAAAUUCAAAAUAUUACGCAUUAAUUUUCGGUAGCGAUAUAAAAUUACCCAGCAAAGCUACGAGCGGAAAAGCUCGACGAUGUAACCUCGAUAAAAAAAAAAAAAACCAAAACCGAGUGGCUUCUGUGGCCAUAAUGGAAGUAAUGGUUACCCGGAGAUCAUGGACAUACAUAUGCCGAUCCCCAUCACUAGGCCCUCCCCAAAAGGCCGUGAUUAAUGAGCUGACAAAGUGUUGAACAUCAAAGGCAGGGAAAACAGUAAUUUACAACGACGCAACGCGACUCGAGAUGAAAUUUAAUUUAAUUUUUUAUUAAUUGUUGCUGGGCAUCUGGGGCACAGGCAGAUCCCGAUCGAGACUAAGAUUGGGAUUGAGAUCGAAGUGUACCUGCUGAUCCGAUGAUGAACCCAAUAAACCCAGGCGUUGCCUGGCACAUAAGCAGCGCAAAACCUCAAAAUAUUUACUCGACAGCAAGGUGGACUAACCCAAAAUAGGGAUUUGCCGAGCGAUUUGCGAAUCAAAAUUUCCAAUUCCAGGAGGUGGCCUUAAGGUUGCGAAAGGAUUUGCAGCGUCAGUGGCUCGCACUCGCACAUGCACUCCAUCUCUUUCGCGCAGCGAGGAUUAGGCCGUUUCGGAAAUAAUCCUUUGCUGCCAGGAAGAAUGCAGUAAACGGCGCACAGCCCUUCGGCGGACCAGGUCAACUCGUUUUCGGCCCAUUUACGAUGGUGCCAUAAACUUUUAUUUGCUGUCAUUCUUCGUCCUCGUGCGCGGUGUUCAUCGCUCAGCCGGGACAUGAACCCCUUUCCGUGCAGGAUAAUAGGUCCUUUUGCAGGCAAGAGUUAAGCCAGCAGCGUAGGAAAGGCUUAGCUUUCACUCAGGCAGGCAAUCGGUCAGUCAGUCAGUCAGUUCGUCCGUCAAUCAAGCCGAGUCAAAGUCAGGUAGAGAUUGCGCUUCGUAAAGUCCUUUGGCUAGAGUCCUUUCUCCCGAGUUUCGAGCUGCAGCGAUAAUCCCUGCUAAUGAGGUGUCCUGUGCAAAGCAAAACUGUGGGCAUCGCGAUAUGCGAGGCGGAUGAAAGUCUAUAAGUCAAGGAUAAUAAUGGAAACUAGACGGAUUACGGAGAUGGUAACAAAACGCUCCAAAUGAAUGAGACAAUCAUGAGAUUAUUAAUGCAAGGGUCUUAAUACAAUAUUAUAGAAUCAAAUUGAUAUGUAUACAUUUUGUGCAUUUAAGACUAAUUCAGUAAGAAUUAGAAUACACGU
Molecule: non-coding RNA, 1270 nt
Organism: Drosophila melanogaster (fruit fly)
Lineage: Eukaryota; Metazoa; Arthropoda; Insecta; Diptera; Drosophilidae
Source: Ensembl